This 481-nucleotide ribosomal RNA is filed under the name uncultured bacterium. RNAcentral describes it as "bacterial SSU rRNA". It matches the Rfam family "Bacterial small subunit ribosomal RNA", at positions 35 to 507 of the family's 1533-position model. The record is from RNAcentral.
GCUGGCGGCAGGCCUAACACAUGCAAGUCGAGCGGUAACAUUUCUAGCUUGCUAGAAGAUGACGAGCGGCGGACGGGUGAGUAACGCGUAGAAAUCUACCUAGUAGUGGGGGAUAGCCCAGAGAAAUUUGGAUUAAUACCGCAUACGCCCUACGGGGGAAAGCGGGGGAUCUUCGGACCUCGUGCUAUUAGAUGAGUCUGCGUCGGAUUAGCUUGUUGGUGAGGUAAUGGCUCACCAAGGCGACGAUCCGUAGCUGGUCUGAGAGGAUGACCAGCCACACUGGAACUGAGACACGGUCCAGACUCCUACGGGAGGCAGCAGUGGGGAAUAUUGCACAAUGGGCGCAAGCCUGAUGCAGCCAUGCCGCGUGUGUGAAGAAGGCCCUAGGGUUGUAAAGCACUUUCAGCAGUGAGGAAAGGGGUGUCGUUAAUAGCGCCAUCCUGUGACGUUAACUGCAGAAGAAGGACCGGCUAACUCCGUG